AUUCUACAUGUGAAGAAACAUUCAUUUGAGGACACCAAGUUAGCGCCUCCUACCGAGCAACGGAAAACCUAAUGAGGAAACUGUAACAAUGAAUACCAGAAACAUCUCCAGUGGUUGGCUUGCCUGUGAAAAGCAUAUGAUAUUAGAGAGAAGAAUGCAUGCACAUGUGAGAGUAAGAGAGAAACAAAGAUGAGGACCCUCUACAGACUCGGCCAUACCGCUACCCCUUCCUCCAGUUUUCCAGCCCAAGGGAUCCCAGCACUUGUGCCUA
Long non-coding RNA from Tupaia belangeri chinensis (Chinese tree shrew), 271 nucleotides. RefSeq lists it as uncharacterized. NCBI's taxonomy places the organism in Eukaryota, Metazoa, Chordata, Mammalia, Scandentia, Tupaiidae. The transcript is spliced from 3 exons. The record is from RefSeq and is a predicted model, not a curated record.